CCCUUAGAUGUUCUGGGCCGCACGCGCGCUACACUGACGAAUUCAACGAGCUUAUAACCUCGGCCGAAAGGUCUAGGUAAUCUCCAAAAUUCGUCGUGAUGGGGAUAGAUUAUUGCAAUUAUUAAUCUUCAACGAGGAAUGCCUAGUAAGCGCAAGUCAUCAGCUUGCGUUGAUUACGUCCCUGCCCUUUGUACACACCGCCCGUCGCUCCUACCGAUUGAAUGGUCCGGUGAAGCGUUUGGACUAUGGUUUUCUGACGGUUCGCCAUUGGAUUACCGUGGGAAAUUCGUUAAACCUUAUCAUUUAGAGGAAGGAGAAGUCGUAACA
This 327-nucleotide ribosomal RNA is filed under the name uncultured eukaryote. RNAcentral's name for it is "partial 18S ribosomal RNA". It matches the Rfam family "Eukaryotic small subunit ribosomal RNA", at positions 1470 to 1796 of the family's 1831-position model. The record is from RNAcentral.